CAACUAUGGAAACCCCCCCUCCCAGCCCGCCUGCGGCCACAGCGCCGCCCCAUAGGGCGAGCCCGCAGCCGCCGCCAUCUUGGGCUCACAACGAGGCUGAGGGGGAGACCGACUGUCGCCACACAGGGCGAGCCCGCGGCUGCCGCCAUCUUGGGCUCACAACGAGGCUGAGGGGGAGACCGACUGUCGCCACACAGGGCAAGCCCGCGGCUGCCGCCAUCUUGGGCUCACAACGAGGCUGAGGGGCCCAGGUGCUGCCCUGUGCGGGAGUAGGUGGUUCUCUGGCCCUUGCUGGAGUCAGGUUCAGCUCAGUUGAUUGAGGCCUCCGCUCCUGCUGGCUGCUGUCUUCCUAAUCGGUUUUGAAUGUAUGUAGUGCUUCCUGUCACUGCCUGAUAAAAUGGGCUGUUUCUGUCAAGACAAAUUUUCUGCAUCUCUCUGCCUCCCUCUCUUCUCUCAUAUUUUCUGUCUCCUCUCCGAUUUUCUUGCCUUUCUCCAUUAACCUCCUUCUGUCUCUUUCUCCCCUCUGUUAUCUCUAUUUCACAUCCUCAUUGUUUCUUUGUCCCUUUCUCUCUACUUAUUUAAUUUUGAUUGAGCCCUCAGUACAUUUGCAGGGUCGAUGAAAAGUGUAUACACCCAAAAAUUGAAUAAAAUGGUACAACACAGA
This is a long non-coding RNA of Malaclemys terrapin pileata, 664 nucleotides long. RefSeq lists it as uncharacterized. The transcript has 2 exons. NCBI's taxonomy places the organism in Eukaryota, Metazoa, Chordata, Testudines, Emydidae. The record is from RefSeq and is a predicted model, not a curated record.